GUGGGGAAUAUUGGGCAAUGGGCGAAAGCCUGACCCAGCAACGCCGCGUGAGGGAAGAAGGCUUUCGGGUUGUAAACCUCUGUCCUUGGUGACGAAGGAAGUGACGGUAGCCAAGGAGGAAGCCCCGGCUAACUACGUGCCAGCAGCCGCGGUAAUACGUAGGGGGCGAGCGUUGUCCGGAAUUACUGGGCGUAAAGGGUGCGUAGGCGGCCGAUUAAGUUGGAUGUGAAAUACCCGGGCUUAACCUGGGGGGUGCAUCCAAUACUGGUUGGCUAGAGGGCAGGAGAGGGAAGCGGAAUUCCUAGUGUAGCGGUGAAAUGCGUAGAUAUUAGGAGGAACACCAGUGGCGAAGGCGGCUUUCUGGACGAAAACUGACGCUGAGGCGCGAAAGCCAGGGGAGCGAACGGGAUUAGAUACCCCUGUAGUCC
RNAcentral lists this ribosomal RNA (428 nucleotides) under uncultured bacterium. RNAcentral's name for it is "partial 16S ribosomal RNA". It matches the Rfam family "Bacterial small subunit ribosomal RNA", at positions 354 to 796 of the family's 1533-position model. The record is from RNAcentral.